Long non-coding RNA from Pygocentrus nattereri (red-bellied piranha), 674 nucleotides. RefSeq lists it as uncharacterized. Lineage: Eukaryota; Metazoa; Chordata; Actinopteri; Characiformes; Serrasalmidae. The record is from RefSeq and is a predicted model, not a curated record. The transcript has 5 exons.
GACACCUGAAGACUUCGUGAAAAGGCCAGUGUACAAAAGUUCGACCUGAGUUUUCAGCGCUGAACAGUUUAAAAAUGCUAUAGUAUUAGCUAUGCAACCGACGUGCUUCCAAAAUACCAAAGUUCUGCGAAUCUUUGCUUGUCCUGUUUCUUCUCUUGUUGCAGGGCACGACUCGAGGGGAUGACACAAUCCGUGAAAUCCUUGGCCGUCUCAAAGACCUUUCUGGCUACUCUGAACUCUUCACUUUUGACAUGAGCACCAUUUACGUGCCAAAUGUGCUGAUGGAUAACAGCGAUUUUUGCAACUGUAAGGAAUUAUUCGCCCAAGAAAUUCUGAAAACUCUUGUUCUGAUAAAGACCACUGACCAAGGCAUGGGUCAGGAGCCACGUGCGAUCGUCCGAAUGCUGCAGUACAAUAUUAAGUCGCUGCUUACUUACUCAGGAGCAGUUGAAGAGCACUGUCCAAAGGAUAAAGCAGUAGUCAACUUGAGGACCCGGCAAAAGGCUCAACACUUGAUCUUUAUAAAGCAGUGGAUCAUAUUUUUUCAAGCUUGGAUGAGUAGGUGUGUGAGCAGUCAUGGCUAUUGAUCUAUUAUAUUAGGUUCAUUCUUGUAAUGGCAUUAUACAUCACAGCUUGUUGAAUAAAUGAAAACUGAAUGGCUUCUUUCAACUUUC